UAGUGUGUGUCAGACUAUUUAUUCUACCAAUCAUUAAUUCACUCAACUCUCUCAGUUCUCAAUCUCACUAGUAUCGCCUCUAUCUCAUCAGUUUUCUCGCCAUCGUCACUUUUAGGGUUUCAAUUCAUGGAGGUUAAAUUUCUCUCCCCUCCUUUAACGAUGUAAAACAAUGAGUUUCUUGUAGUGCCAAGUGUCGAGAUAGUUUUGAUGUGAACUUAUGAUCAUUGUCAAAGAAGACAAAGUUUUUGUGUAUCUUGUGGAUUAGCUUGAAAGUCUUUCUAAUUUUGGAGUCGCUCGAAGGUAUCUGCUAAAGCUUAAAGAGGUGAAAUAAACGAUUUCCAUCGACGGACUGUAGCCUUACCCACAUCCCAUGCUGCACAUCCAGCGAUUGUGACUGAAACUUCCCCAAGGCGUAACACAGAAAAUUUGACUAAGUGUCGAACGAUGGGAGGACCUACGGCAUUUCAAGUUUUAGUGAUAGGAUGGACACUUAGAGUCAAAACAAAAAAAAGGGUGAAAAAUAUCUGAAGUUGAAGCUUGAGCAUCACUAAGCUGCUUGUGAUCUACUGAAUAUAGACUUUUUGCCUGUUUUUCCAUCAACUAAAGCCUGAAGGAAGUGGGUUCAAAAGGCGAUCAAAAUGAGGAGUCGACAUUUUGAUGAAUAACUAUGUGAAUUAGAGUUAUUCUGCCAAAUGAUAUAACAUUCAUGGAAGAUCAAGGACAAUCUCAAACGGCGACAAACUAGAAGAAGGGCGAAUCACAAAUUAACUCGGCGAUUAACGACUAAAUCCACCGAACGGAUUGUCCAGCAUACAAUACGAAGUCUAGAAAUACCAAAAUCUUUAUCAUUUUUAAAAUAUCCAAACAUUAUUACUAUUUUUCACUUUGAGAACUCUAGUUUUUAUAUUUUUAUCUAAUGUUUGGAGAGGUUUUUGUGGGACACUUGAAAAAACAGAUUCUUCAUCCUCUAAUUGGAAGUGGGUCUUCUCCAUU
This is a long non-coding RNA of Solanum lycopersicum (tomato), 993 nucleotides long. RefSeq lists it as uncharacterized. The record is from RefSeq and is a predicted model, not a curated record. NCBI's taxonomy places the organism in Eukaryota, Viridiplantae, Streptophyta, Magnoliopsida, Solanales, Solanaceae.